AUUGUACCCUUUGGAUGAUUGUAGGUUAUGUGAAUAUAUCUCAAUAAAAUUGCAUAAAAACAGCAGCAGCAGCAACAACAACAACAAAGAAUAGUAUUAAAAUAACCAUAGAAAUUCAAGAGGCCAGAACAAAAGCUUUUCAAGGGUGGAAUCAGCAGAGUUUGGAGAGCAUCUGGUAGGUUCCUGGAGUCAAUUGUUGGAGCUUGAAAAAAGAAAGUUGGGGACCAUGGACUUGCCCCCCUGGAAGUGACAGCAAGGAGAGGUGAAGUUUCCUGCCAAAGAUGCCUCAGCUGGAGCGUGGAAGAGUUGGGGUUCAUCCAAGAUCCACCCCCCCUUGUCACCACACGGUGCUUCCUCAAGAGAAUCAUGCUAGAGACCAGUUGGGACAAGACCAGCUCUGAAAUCACAUUGGUGGGAGCAGCAUCAGCUUUGGAGCCAGAAGGACUCACUUUCA
This is a long non-coding RNA of Choloepus didactylus (southern two-toed sloth), 454 nucleotides long. RefSeq lists it as uncharacterized. The record is from RefSeq and is a predicted model, not a curated record. The transcript is spliced from 3 exons. Lineage: Eukaryota; Metazoa; Chordata; Mammalia; Pilosa; Megalonychidae.